Molecule: transfer RNA, 66 nt
Filed under: Argopecten ventricosus
Lineage: Eukaryota; Metazoa; Mollusca; Bivalvia; Pectinida; Pectinidae
Description: tRNA-Trp
Source: RNAcentral
AUCAGAAGCUAGGUUAAUUAAACUCUGAGUUUCCAAAACUCAAAAUGGUGGUGGUCCGCCGUUUCU